This 847-nucleotide ribosomal RNA is filed under the name uncultured bacterium. RNAcentral's name for it is "bacterial SSU rRNA". It matches the Rfam family "Bacterial small subunit ribosomal RNA", at positions 21 to 888 of the family's 1533-position model. The record is from RNAcentral.
GGCUCAGGAUGAACGCGGGCGGCGUGCCUAAUACAUGCAAGUCGAACGAGGAUGUAGCAAUACGUCCUAGUGGCGAACGGGUGAGUAACGAGUUGGUGACCUGCCCCGAAGUGUGGGAUAACAGUCCGAAAGGAUUGCUAAUACCGCAUGUGAUCAUUGGUUUUAGAAUCUGAUGAUUAAAGCAGUGAUGCGCUUCGGGAGGGACCUGCUUCCCAUCAGCUAGUUGGUGAGGUAACGGCCCACCAAGGCGUCGACGGGUAAGGGGCCUGAGAGGGUGGCCCCUCACAAUGGAACUGAAACACGGUCCAUACACCUACGGGUGGCAGCAGUAGGGAAUAUUGGUCAAUGGGCGAAAGCCUGAACCAGCAACGCCGCGUGUACGAUGAAGGCCUUCGGGUCGUAAAGUACUUUUCUGAGAGAUGAGCAAGGACAGUAUCUCAGGAAUAAGCCUCGGCUAACUACGUGCCAGCAGCCGCGGUAAAACGUAGGAGGCAAGCGUUAUCCGGAUUUACUGGGCGUAAAGCGUGUGUAGGCGGUUCGGCAAGUUGGAUGUGAAAGCUCCUGGCUUAACUAGGAGAGGUCGUUCAAUACUACCGAACUUGAGGUCAUCAGAGGAAGGUGGAAUUCCCGGUGUAGUGGUGAAAUGCGUAGAUAUCGGGAGGAACACCAGUGGCGAAAGCGGCCUUCUGGGAUGAUCCUGACGCUCAGACACGAAAGCUAGGGUAGCAAACGGGAUUAGAGACCCCGGUAGUCCUAGCAGUAAACGAUGUAGACUUGGCGUCGGAGGGUUCAAAACCUUCGGUGUCGAAGCUAACGCGAUAAGUCUACCGCCUGGGGACUACGGCCG